Molecule: ribosomal RNA, 494 nt
Filed under: uncultured bacterium
Lineage: Bacteria
Description: partial 16S ribosomal RNA
Rfam family: Bacterial small subunit ribosomal RNA
Source: RNAcentral
GACGAACGCUGGCGGCGUGCUUAACACAUGCAAGUCGAACGGACAGGCCUGCUUUCCCUUGUGGAUUGCGGGUACUCGCGUGGCGAACGGGUGAGUAACACGUGAGUGAUCUGCCCCCAACUUGGGUAUAAGCCUGGGAAACUGGGUCUAAUUACCGAUAGGACUGCAGGGUGGUGCCUGUGGUGGAAAACGAUUUUCUAGUGGUUGGGGAUGAGCUCGCGGCCUAUCAGCUUGUUGGUGGGGUAAUGGCCUACCAAGGCGGGGACGGGUAGCCGGCGUGAGGGGGUGGACGGCCACAUUGGGAAUGAGAUACGGCCCAGACUCCUACGGGAGGCAGCAGUGGGGAAUAUUGCACAAUGGGCGGAAGCCUGAUGCAGCGACGCCGCGUGGGGGAUGACGGCCUUCGGGUUGUAAACUCCUUUCGACCGCGAGGAAGCCACCUGGUUGGAAGGGUGGUGACGGUAGUGGUAGAAGAAGCACCGGCUAACUACGUG